Long non-coding RNA from Phragmites australis (common reed), 1298 nucleotides. RefSeq lists it as uncharacterized. The record is from RefSeq and is a predicted model, not a curated record. NCBI's taxonomy places the organism in Eukaryota, Viridiplantae, Streptophyta, Magnoliopsida, Poales, Poaceae. The transcript is spliced from 2 exons.
GCUGUUUGGUUGCAGGCCCUGAGUGCCAAGCCAAAUUUUGGCCUUGCCCAUGUAAAUAGGCCUGCAUUUGGCUCUGCCCCAAAAUUUUGGCCUGCCCUAUUCCUGCCCAAGCCAAUUGUUGCGCGAAAUGGCAGCCCUGUUUUUUGGCCGGCCAAAUCCACUGCAAUGUGGUCACCGCGUAUAAAAAAGGACUCAGGUAGGCUUCCUCUCCUUUGUUCUCCUACAGCAGCAUCCUUUCCCUUUCCUCCUCAAGAGCAGCCGCAUCUCCCCCCAAUCUCAUCGCCACAGCAUGUGCAGAAGGAAGCAGCCGCCCAAGCCUCCGAGGACCACGCCGACGCCUUCGAGGGCGGGAAGCAUCCGUUCCGCGGCAAGCCUGGCGCGCUGCCCAUCUUCCUCCUCGUCGACCGCGGGAAUGGACAUCAAGCGACAGCAAUAUCUUAAUUACUGCAUGUGGAGGCAAAAGGCACUAGUUGUUGUUCUUAUGUUAGUCCUGUGGUGGAGAAACAGAGAUGGUAGGGAUAGACACAGGUGUGUGAAGUAUAGGCAACUAGUUAGUAGGGAUGUAUGGAUGUAUGGUGGACUAACGAACUUGAAGUGCAAGCGUGUCAAAUCACCAGCCAAGAAGCCAUCAAGGACAAGGCAAGCCGCAACAAAAUAACAAAUGAUGAGGUUUCAGUUAGUAUUGUGAGGCUUGCUGACUCUUUUGCAUCUUCUAACCCUACUGCUGCUGCACCUGUCCAAAAUAUUGAACAAUUGGACCCUCGUGCCGAACUUGGAAGCGCAUAGAAGACCUUACCAUCACAGCUAAGGACAAGUUGGAGAUUGGCGCCGAUCUUGCGAGGAAAGAUCAGGACAACUUCCGCAGUUACCUUACCUUUGCAGGUGAUGCUACUUUCCAAACUUGGGUCAUUGAAUUUUUGGACUACAAAUAUGGGGGUGGCGCUGACAGGGGCGGUUUUGGCUCUCUUUGAAGAUGCAUGUGUUGAUGGCAUUUUGUAAGUAAUGUAUGAUGCAGGUGAUGACUGGACACCUUAUCAGAUAUCACUAAGUUAUGAUGAUAAGCUUAGCUUAUGUAGUUGUGGUAACCCCUUAUGGUUAGGGUCUCCUGAUGGUAGGAUGACACUAAAGGUUAUUUUGUGUUGAGCUGUAGCAAUGCUACUUUUAAGUGGACAAUGGUGGACUGAUGUUGUCCUUAUUUUGUAACACUGUAUGCUACUUGUUCAUGGUGACCUGACGGCUGUACUUAUUUUGUAACACUGGAUGCUACACUUAAAUGGUGAAUUAAUGGUGAUUUUGUA